GGAGAGGUGUCCGAGUUGGUUUAAGGGGCUCGCCUGGAAAGCGAGUAUGUGGGAAACUGCAUCGAGGGUUCGAAUCCCUUCUUCUCCG
Molecule: transfer RNA, 88 nt
Filed under: Peptostreptococcus sp. D1
Lineage: Bacteria; Bacillati; Bacillota; Clostridia; Peptostreptococcales; Peptostreptococcaceae
Also listed under: 1 other name
Rfam family: tRNA
About the family: Transfer RNA (tRNA) molecules are approximately 80 nucleotides in length. Their secondary structure includes four short double-helical elements and three loops (D, anti-codon, and T loops). Further hydrogen bonds mediate the characteristic L-shaped molecular structure. tRNAs have two regions of fundamental functional importance: the anti-codon, which is responsible for specific mRNA codon recognition, and the 3' end, to which the tRNAs corresponding amino acid is attached (by aminoacyl-tRNA synthetases). tRNAs cope with the degeneracy of the genetic code in two manners: having more than one tRNA (with a specific anti-codon) for a particular amino acid; and 'wobble' base-pairing, i.e. permitting non-standard base-pairing at the 3rd anti-codon position.
Source: Rfam by way of RNAcentral